UUUCAGUCGCCUGUAAAUUCGCACUUCGACACACACAGACGAACCUGAAGCUAUUUCCAAGUAAUAUCAUGCACCAAACAUGUUUAUGUGAAAUACUCCGGUUUUUAAAACUACGUCAAACGCGUCAAAGUCGCCGCAUUAGCACACUGUUCGAACGUGCACUGUUUUGUUGUUCCCGUGUUAAAAAUGUGGUUCCGCUUUCACGAUUCAUCCUGCAAGAUUUGCUCAUGUGUUUAUGCCCAAUUCACAGGGACCAAGGUUGAGCUUGUUUGGUUUCACAAACAUAUAUAAUAACUUUCAGGUUGAUCAUCUUGAAGAUCUUCAAACAUGAUCCUUCCCCCUCUCUGUCAGCCCCUAUGCACAUCGCACGAUCGGAGCUGAGGGACAAACCAUGCGAAACAGUGACAUCAGGUUUCCAGGAGCCACAGCUGACCCCAGGCCUUAAGAAGGACACGUAGUGAAAACAACAAAUGUCAAGUCAGGGGGAACAUGCAAUGGGAAGGGAUGUGGCCUACAUGGCAUUACAGCACCAGGGGCUGCUGUUGCCCAACAGGGAUUUCCCUUCCAUCAGAGACGCUGAUCAACAAGGUUAUUUUCCCUGACAGCGAGCAGAGCCUGCUGGCUAAAGAAGAGGAAGGUUGAUUAUGUGACGGAUCUCAAAGCGAAACAUCUGCAUUCACAUGGAACAUUUUUAUCUGUACAAAUUAAGAAAUAACUGCAGGUAUGUAUUGCAACUUUGUUUAAUGCAGGACUCAUUUUAGUGAUGUUUCUGCAAUAUGCCAACGUCCUAUAUUUGCCAUGCAUUUACAUUUACUGUCAAAUAAAUCUGCAUCUCUUUGUGCUUCAGAAUAACAUGAUGUGCUGUAUCUGCCUGUCUGUCCAUCUGUCUGUGUGAAAAUGGCCCCAGUCGCCAUUUUCAAAGGAGGUCAGUCUGUAAGGGAAAAAAUUUUAGGUCUCUCUCUUUCUCUCUCUCUCUCUCUCACAGACUGAGGGAGGGUUAUUGUCUCUCUUGUCUGACAUCAGUAGGAUGUGAUCUCUGUCUUAGCAUGUGUGAGGAGACAAAAACAACAUGAGUAGUCUGUUCCCUUCCAGAAUUUACUGGGCCAACAACGUCCUGAUGAGGAUUGAUAUUGUUAACCCUGAAAAAUCCCUUACAGCAGAACAUACUGUUCCUGUAACUUACUCCAAUCCUCCAUCGAAAAAAAAAAAAAAAAAAUAUUGUCUCUUGAAUUUGAGACAUUUGCACGGAUGGCGUCAUAAAAAUGAUCUGAUAUCCGUCUAUCAAUUUAAAACAGAGUUUGCUUUAAAGGUUUGGCAUUUCAGAGACAUGCCUUGUGUUUCUUUAGACGAUAUAUAUAUAUAUAUAUAUAUAUAUGCCUUUAUGAGUUAUUAACCAUUGAGGUGUUAUUUUAAUAUUUCACAGUAACAAACUUCCCCUGUCUAUGAUAUUUGACACACACCAGCAGUUUCCAUCCUCUGCUGCUUGUGAGUUUUACCUCUUGUGAGCCCCCACCUACUGUAUUUGAAGUGCAGUACUAAAUCACUGCUCUGCACUAAGGUCAAGUCAGCCAUCACUUUACGCUCCUAGAUGUGAAGUGCCCCGAUAUUCUCUCCUUUAUGUCAGUUCUACUCAAAUACUCAACAUAUAUGCAGUCAAACAUCCAGUUUUCAAAAUAAAGUCUGAACAAAAGCAAACAUAA
Long non-coding RNA from Solea senegalensis (Senegalese sole), 1700 nucleotides. RefSeq lists it as uncharacterized. NCBI's taxonomy places the organism in Eukaryota, Metazoa, Chordata, Actinopteri, Pleuronectiformes, Soleidae. The record is from RefSeq and is a predicted model, not a curated record. The transcript has 4 exons.